RNAcentral lists this ribosomal RNA (429 nucleotides) under Bacteroidota bacterium. Its description in RNAcentral is "Bacteroidetes bacterium partial 16S ribosomal RNA". It matches the Rfam family "Bacterial small subunit ribosomal RNA", at positions 355 to 776 of the family's 1533-position model. The record is from RNAcentral. Lineage: Bacteria; Pseudomonadati; Bacteroidota.
UAGGGAAUCUUCCGCAAUGGACGCAAGUCUGACGGAGCAACGCCGCGUGAGUGAAGAAGGAUUUCGGUUCGUAAAACUCUGUUGUUAGAGAAGAACAGCGCAUAGAGUAGCUGUUAUGCGUGUGACGGUAUCUAACCAGAAAGCCACGGCUAGCUACGUGCCAGCAGCCGCGGUAAUACGUAGGUGGCAAGCGUUGUCCGGAUUUAUUGGGCGUAAAGCGAGCGCAGGCGGUCAAUUAAGUCUGAUGUGAAAGCCCCCGGCUCAACCGGGGAGGGUCAUUGGAAACUGGUUGACUUGAGUGCAGAAGAGGAGAGUGGAAUUCCAUGUGUAGCGGUGAAAUGCGUAGAUAUAUGGAGGAACACCAGUGGCGAAGGCGACUCUCUGGUCUGUAACUGACGCUGAGGCUCGAAAGCGUGGGUAGCAAACAGG